RNAcentral lists this unclassified non-coding RNA (263 nucleotides) under plant metagenome. RNAcentral's name for it is "partial contains small subunit ribosomal RNA, internal transcribed spacer 1, and 5.8S ribosomal RNA". The record is from RNAcentral.
UUUCCGUAGGUGAACCUGCGGAAGGAUCAUUAUUGUAUAACCGAGGUGCGAGGGCUGUCGCUGACCCGAAAGGUCGUGCACGCCCGAGUGCCCUCACACACAUCCAUCUCACCCCUAUGUGCACCACCGCGUGGGUCCCCCUUUGGCUUGUUCGGAGGGGGGCUUACGUUUUCACACAAACUUUGUAUGCAGUGUAGAGUGUAUUUUUUGUUUUUGCGAUCACGCAAUCAAUACAACUUUCAACAACGGAUCUCUUGGUUCUG